CUGAGGCCCAGACCAGUUGGACCCUCCAGCAGUCGAGACACAGGCAGGACCGAAGAGUCAAAUCAACCUUGCUGAGAAGCCACGUGUGGUCACACCACAUUGUGCAAUGCAGGGAUCUGGGCUGGCCUUCACCUGGGUUUCCUAUGCGUUCCACGGCAGCGCCGGCUGCAGCCUCACGCUGCCCCAAGGUCCAGUCUGGACGAACUGACUGCUGGUUUUGCUCAGCUGUACCAUCUGUGACCAUGAAAGUCUGAGAGAACAAACAGAAUCAUAUUUAUGAGAAACACCCAUGGGUGCUUUCCAUAUAUCUUAUUUAUUAUCUCGUUGCAAAAAUGAGAUUCUUGACCUCAGUUCAGGCAUGUGGCUUGGCACUGUUUACAGCUAAAUCUUCUGCAAAAUAAACAUGCAGAUGGGGGCAGCAGCAAGCCAGAGCCACCAGCUAUGGGUCAUCAGGUGGCCCAAGGUCAUCCCCUUCACUUCGCUCCUCUGCCUGGCAGCUUAGCGCCCAGCCUUUGGCAUCACCUGGGGAUUACUUCUUCUUUGUUUUAUAAAUAGCCAAACAUGGACCUGGGGUAGCUGUUAAUCCCAGGGCUGGCCCUGAGAUUUCAGAAUCAUAUCUUCUUCAGAUUAAGCGGACAGGGCACAAAGCGUCACUGACCAAAGUUUAAAAAAUGCAGACUCCAGAGUUCCUGUUGUGUCUCAGCAGAAACAAAUCCAACUAGGAUCCAUGAGGAUGUGGGUUAAGGAUCCGGCAUUGCCUUGAGCUGUGGUGUAGGUCACAGGUGUGGCUGUGGCUGUGGCUGUGGCUGUGGCUGUGGCGGAGGCCAGCAGCUGCAGCUCUGAUUCACCCCUAGCCUGGGAAUUUCCAUAUG
Molecule: long non-coding RNA, 872 nt
Filed under: Sus scrofa (pig)
Lineage: Eukaryota; Metazoa; Chordata; Mammalia; Artiodactyla; Suidae
Description: lncRNA (ENSSSCG00040031473.1)
Source: RNAcentral